Molecule: ribosomal RNA, 808 nt
Filed under: uncultured Ascomycota
Lineage: Eukaryota; Fungi; Ascomycota
Description: eukaryotic LSU rRNA
Rfam family: Eukaryotic large subunit ribosomal RNA (bases 306-808)
Source: RNAcentral
AUCGAUGAAGAACGCAGUGAAAUGCGAUAAGUAAUGUGAAUUGCAGAAUCUCAUGAAUCAUCGAAUCUUUGAACGUACAUUGCGCCCUAUGGUAUUCCGUAGGGCAUGCGUCAGCUCCCACCCACUCAGGUAUCUGUUUAUCGGAUGCUUGGAAUGCUUUGGAGAGGCGUCUUAUUAUAGAAACGCCCCCCAGAAAUUAAUAGGCAGUAUGGUUUGCACCUGAACCAGAGACGUAAUAAUAAUAAAAUCGUUUUGUUUAGGUAUAAUUGUGCUUGCCUCAACCCACCCAUCUUUUUAUUUUCGGGUGACCUCAGAUCAGGUAGGGAUACCAGCUGAACUUAAGCAUAUCAAUAAGUGGAGGAAAAGAAACCAACAGGGAUUGCCUUAGUAACGGCGAGUGAAGCGGCAAAAGCUCAGAUUUGAAAUCUGGCGUCAUUUUGGCGUCCGAGUUGUAGUCUGUAGAGGUGUAUUCGAGUGUGGCUUUGGCUUAAGUUCCUUGGCACAAGUAGAGUGAUCGAAAGAUGAAAAGAACUCUGAACAGAGAGUCAAAUAGUACGUGAAAUUGUUGAAAGGGAAGCACUUCCGACCAGACGCACUUGCAGCCGAUCAAUCUUCAUUCUUGAGGGUGCACUCGGUUGUCUGUGGGUCAGCAUCAGUUAUGGCGGUGGGAAAAAGACUAGCUCCUUUUGGGGAGUGUUAUAGCCUUUGGUGCAAUGCUGCCUGCUCUAACUGAGGACCGCGCUUCCGUGAGGAUGCUGGGGUGAGGAUGCUGGCAUAAUGGUCGUAAGUGACCCGUCUUGAAACACGG